This 1548-nucleotide small RNA is filed under the name Pongo abelii (Sumatran orangutan). Its description in RNAcentral is "processed transcript". The record is from RNAcentral. Lineage: Eukaryota; Metazoa; Chordata; Mammalia; Primates; Hominidae.
CCGCGUUUGAAUGGCCCUGAGUGGGACUGGGCCCAGAAGCCGAGGGACGCUCUAGGCUGCCGGGCGCUGAUCGUCAGCGCCGAGGCUGGGCUGAGGCGCCGCGGUACCAUGAGGCGCCGGUAAGUGACUGCCGAGCCGGUGCGAGCCCCGCGCCCGCAGCUGCCCUGCCCUGGCGGGGCUAGUCCAGCCGGGCUUGGCCGCGCCCUGGGCCCACCUGCAGGCCCCCGCGGCGGCCUCGGCUCGGCCCGGCUCGCGGCAGCGCUGCCGGGUCGCGGGGCGGGGCGGCAAGGCCGGGGCGGAGCCCCUCUGCCGGCCCCUGCGGGGAGGGUCGGGCGGCGGGCGCUGGGGGGCUCCUGGGGCCUGGGCCGGGAGAGACGUGAACGGAACCUGUUGUCACUUAUUUAUCUUCGGGUGGAGUCGACAGCUGCACCUGGGGAAGGUGAAGGACAGAACGAGUGUGGGGCGAGCUCUUUUGUGGACAGGUUUUCCGCAGAGCGCCUAGGCCCGGCCCAGGCAUUUCCUCAUUUUCCGACGGGUCCUCGGAUUCCUGACGGAUGAGCUUUUGUUUCGCAGGACAAAAACUUGACAUAACUGCAUAAGAAUUGUCGAUUGCAACUUUAAAAACCUUAUUGUAUUUUCUGAAAAGUUGUUCUGUAAAGUAUCUAGGCUUUUACUACGCUCUUAAAUUGCUUAAAUAUGGAGAUAACAAAGAGUUGGUUUUCUUGUGGCUUAUAAAUUUCCUUGAAAACAGAGGUACCUAUGUCAGUUUCUUUGCUGAUUUAAAAAAAAUUGUAAGAGAAAUUAGUUGUGUAAUAAUCAUCAGUUCAGCACUUGCGAGAAUUAUGAGAAACUAGUCCACCUAAUAGCUUAAAUAUGCUGGUUUUUUGGAGUUUCUUUGGAUAGCCAGCUUCGGACUUGAAUUGAAACAUCAUCCAUUGAGGCUUUUACUUGGCUAAUAACUAAUAUUAGCCAAUAAUAAUAUUAGUCAGUGUGAUCAUAAUGAUGGGCAAUAUUUAUUUUGUGCUUUCUAUGCGCUAGACGUAUUAAGAGCUUUGCUUUGGGAUAUCUACGGUUGUCCCCAUUUUGACAGUGAAGAAACUAAGGCGCAGGAAAUUUUAGUAUUGUAACUUGUACCGUACAGGGUUACACAGCUAAUAUAAUUAACACCCGAGCAGGCUGGCUCCACGCUUUUAACUCUGCUCCUCUACUACCUCCUUUAUAUGUGGCUCUUUUUAGUUUACAAAGCCCUUUCAUUUCAUUUACUUCAACUUCGGAGACCUGAGUGUGCCUUUGUGUACACAUACAUUCAUUCUCACACCAUUCAUUCAAGUUUUCUGCUCUUGAUGAUUAUACUUAAGGUUUGUGUCUGAGCAAAAAAUCCAUUGACUAUUUUAAGAUAAAUGGAGUUUAUAAGCUUUAUGUGUGUUAUAAUUUAUGUUUUGGAUUCCUUUAUAUCCUUUCCUGAAAGUUUUGAAAGUGUUAGUCUUAGCAACUUACGUAUUACUUUAAAAUAAAAAAAUUACAUGUUAAAUGUUUUCAUCCCUAAAA